RNAcentral lists this ribosomal RNA (253 nucleotides) under uncultured bacterium. Its description in RNAcentral is "partial 16S ribosomal RNA". It matches the Rfam family "Bacterial small subunit ribosomal RNA", at positions 524 to 776 of the family's 1533-position model. The record is from RNAcentral.
UACGGGGGGGGCAAGCGUUGUUCGGAAUUACUGGGCGUAAAGGGUGCGUAGGCGGCUUUCUAAGUUGGAUGUGAAAACUAUGGGCUCAACCCAUAGCCUGCAUCCAAAACUGGAGAGCUUGGGUUCUGGAGGGGAAAGCGGAAUUCCUGGUGUAGCGGUGAAAUGCGUAGAUAUCAGGAGGAACACCGGUGGCGAAGGCGGCUUUCUGGACAGAUACCGACGCUGAGGCACGAAAGCUAGGGGAGCGAACGGG